AGUGAACGCUGGCGGUAGGCCUAACACAUGCAAGUCGAACGGCAGCACAGUAAGCGCUUGCUCUUACGGGUGGCGAGUGACGGACGGGUGAGGCAUACAUCGGAAUCUACUUUUUCGUGGGGGAUAACGUAGGGCAACUUACGCUACUACCGCAUACGACCUACGGGUGAAAGCAGUGUAUCUUCGGACCUUGCGCGAUUGAAUGAGCCGACGUCGGAUUAGCUAGUUGGCGGGGUAAUGGCCCACCAAGGCGACGAUCCGUAGCUGGUCUGAGAGGAUGAUCGGCCACACGGGAACGGAAACACGGACCAGACUACUGCGGGAGGCAGCAGUGGGGAAUAGUGGACAACGGGCGCGAGCCUUGUCCAGCCAGACCGCGUGUGUGAAGAAGGCCUUCGGGUUGUAAAGCCCUUUUGUUGGGAAAGAACAGCAGCAGGUUAAUACCCCGCUGUUCUGACGGUACCCAAAGAAUAAGCACCGGCUAACUACGUG
RNAcentral lists this ribosomal RNA (492 nucleotides) under uncultured bacterium. RNAcentral's name for it is "partial 16S ribosomal RNA". It matches the Rfam family "Bacterial small subunit ribosomal RNA", at positions 29 to 507 of the family's 1533-position model. The record is from RNAcentral.